This 1945-nucleotide unclassified non-coding RNA is filed under the name Thrips palmi. RNAcentral describes it as "transcription factor E2F6-like, transcript variant X15". The record is from RNAcentral. Lineage: Eukaryota; Metazoa; Arthropoda; Insecta; Thysanoptera; Thripidae.
AUACCAACGCCUACCUCGGAAGGUAGUGCCUGUCGAAAGUAUUAUUCGGAAAUACUGAUGAUUGUUUCAGGACAAUUAUAAUUUCAUAUAGCUUAGUUAUAGGCAACUUAAUCAAAAACAGAUCAACAGCAACACGUACCAGCAAGCCGCCAAACUUGACAGCUAAUCCACAGGAGAAUGGCGCAAUACGAAUUUACUGACGAAGAAACUCAACUACCCCCUGUUAAGUAUGAAUACUUGGACCACACAGCAGAUGUCCAGCUUCAUGCGUGGGGGGAUGAUCUUAUGGAAGCAUUUGAGCAGUGUGCCAUGGCAAUGUUUGCCUACAUGACAGAAAUAGAAUAUGUAGAUUUGGUUGAGGCACACCAGAUAGAAGCUCAAGGAGAAGACUUGGAAUCUCUUUUAUUUCACUUCCUUGACGAGUUUUUAUUUUUGUUUUCAUGCGACCCAUUCCUCAUAGCAAGGAAAGUAAAGAUAUUAGAUUUUGACUUUGAAAACUUCAAAAUUGUUGCUAAAGGGUAUGGGGAGAGAUUUGAUCUGGAGAAACAUCCUCAAGGAACUGAAGUGAAAGCCAUUACAUAUUCCAAUAUGCAAGUUCACAACAAGGAUGGACAGCAUGAAGUUUUUGUAAUAAUUGACAUCUAAGAGGGCUCGUGAAAAAUUACUUCAAAGUUGCAAUUUGUCAAUCAUUCCCAUUUCAUCAUCCAAGAAGCACAGUGGCACAGUCUUGGUUUGUAAUUCAAAGCAGUGUCACAUAGCUACCAUCAUGGCUCCAUGCAUGCUACCAUUGCGGGGGAAAUCACAGCUAUACGUUUAAUAACUUUUUAUUGAAUAAAAAUUUAUAUCGCAGUUAUGAAAAACAAGAAAAGAUCCUCGCGCAGUUUUUUUAUUGCAGCAUCUUGACCUUGUCAGUACACAUGGAGUAGAGAAAGAGAGGUUGGUCGUAAACGUAAACAACCACCAAACGUUACAUUUUAAUGACGUUGAGACACCACCUGUGACAUCUGAUGCUGUCGCUGAAGACCAGCUUAAGCAGUGUUUGCACCUAGCGGAUUGCAAGCAAGAUAUUUGGGAAUACUGAGGGUGAACCUCCCCGCCCCCGCUCAUUCAAAAACACAUGAUCCGCUGAGUACGUCACGUCACAGCGCUGCCAUCUACAGGACAGAUGUUCCACAUCCCGGGGCCCUCUCUCGAGCACAGUUAUUGUUUGCGAUCAAAUCUGCAAUGAGUAUAACUUUUAUAGUUUCGGAGCGAGUAGUUUAUGGUUCCACCGUUCGCCGAAAAAGCAAAAAUUUAAACUCGUAGUGAGAUAUUCUUCCGAAACCUGUUGAUGGCCGACAUCGCUUACCCAGUGCUCGUUCCGGGGCCAACACAGCCACACGCUGUGCGGGAAAGGUGUUUUCGCGCCAUCGGGGCACUGCAUUGUUGCUGCUGUGGCGGAUGCCUGGCGGAUGCCCGAAACACGCUUCUUUUUAAGUGCUCCAUUUAAUCUCAUUUUGAACGAUUUAUUUUUGUUGGCCGCGAUAUACUCGCAGUUCUUGUUUUAUUUACCUUAUUCGACUUCGCCUUAAAGCUACCUUCAGUCUUUCCGGUGGAUAUCUGUGCGUUGAGGAUCGUUGAAUCUUCUAGUGUAAUAAUAAUUAUGCUGUAACGGAGCUUGCUUGCAAGCCAAGCUCGAAACAAAAGACGGCUUUGGAAAGCACUAUUCUGUUCUGAAAUCUUCAUGAAACAUGUAGGAUUUGAACUUCAACUUAUUUCCACCACACGUAUUUCUCCUGUAUAUCGGAAACCUACUAUCUUCUAGUCCAGGCUCAGAGAGAUAUUUCUCCCAUCAUCUGGCUUCUGGUAUUGGAGAACAUACCACAUCUGUAAGCCCCUCUUCUCCAUUCCAACACCUCCUUGACCACGAGUACGGUCAAACACCCCAAGAUCAAAUCAUCCGUCA